UUAUAUGAGUUCAAUUCCAAACACUCAAAACUUAUUGUUGAAUGGAAUGAGGUAUUUUGAGUGUUUGGAAUUGAACUCGUAUAC
RNAcentral lists this microRNA precursor (84 nucleotides) under Nomascus leucogenys (northern white-cheeked gibbon). Its description in RNAcentral is "mir-3145 microRNA precursor family". It matches the Rfam family "mir-3145 microRNA precursor family". Lineage: Eukaryota; Metazoa; Chordata; Mammalia; Primates; Hylobatidae. The record is from Rfam by way of RNAcentral.